CCUACGGGCGGCUGCAGUGGGGAAUAUUGGACAAUGGGGGAAACCCUGAUCCAGCAAUGCCGCGUGUGUGAAGAAGGCCCGCGGGUUGUAAAGCACUUUCAGCGGGGAAGAAAGCCUGGGGGUUAAUACCGUGCGGCCAAGACAUCACCCACAGAAGAAGCACCGGCUAACUCCGUGCCAGCAGCCGCGGUAAUACGGAGGGUGCGAGCGUUAAUCGGAAUUACUGGGCGUAAAGCGCGCGUAGGCGGGUGAGUAAGCCGGUUGUGAAAGCCCCGGGCUCAACCUGGGAACUGCAUCCGGAACUGGCAGGCUAGAGUGCAGGAGAGGAAGGUGGAAUUCCCGGUGUAGCGGUGAAAUGCGUAGAGAUCGGGAGGAAUACCAGUGGCGAAGGCGGCUUUCUGGACUGUCACUGACGCUGAGGUGCGAAAGCGUGGGGAGCAAACAGGAUUAGAUACCCGAGUAGUC
RNAcentral lists this ribosomal RNA (465 nucleotides) under Vreelandella stevensii. RNAcentral's name for it is "partial 16S ribosomal RNA". It matches the Rfam family "Bacterial small subunit ribosomal RNA", at positions 338 to 795 of the family's 1533-position model. Lineage: Bacteria; Pseudomonadati; Pseudomonadota; Gammaproteobacteria; Oceanospirillales; Halomonadaceae. The record is from RNAcentral.